CCUGCCUUGUUUUAUAAGUUUGGAGAGAUCUGGAAAAGGUAAGGAAGCACUGAAAACAUAUUGUAAACUUCAGAUAGCCUAAAACUCUCAAAAAUUACUAUUCCAUUGAAUUUAUAGAGUGAUCUUGAAGCUUUAUAUUCUGAAAUUCAAUGUCCAGCUUGAAUAAGGCUAAAAAUAGUUUGAAUAGUCCUGUUAAUUCACUACUAAAGGUUUUAGAGACUCUUGGAGUAUUUUGAAUUCUCACUUGUGUCAUUCAAGCUGAAUUCUGUGUUUGCUGCUGUGUUAUUUGAGUAAAAUUAUUCUCUAGGUCAUUUGAUAGCAUUUUCUGGGUGGAAUUGAUUCUAAUUUCCUGUUAAUUGUUGUUGGCUACUGUUUACUACUGCUGACUUCUUCCUUAUUCCUAUUUUUAUUUGAAUUCCAGGUAUAUUUUUUUGCCUCUAGUGAUAUGUAAAGAUGAGAUCAGCAUAUUUGAAGAAAAUUUAGGAAUCCUUACCUGUUUUGUUUUCUCCUCCAUGAGUUCCCUGCUAUUUUAUCUUAGUCUAGAGGUUUAGCAUAACUGUGCAGUUGAAUAUUGCAUUAUUUGUAUUAACAGUACUGUUAAACUAUGCUCAGAAUGACACAAGUAUCAUGUUAACUUUUGUGUAGUGAAUCCUAGAUUACCUACCCUGUCACCUUGAAUUUUGAGUUUUUG
RNAcentral lists this long non-coding RNA (691 nucleotides) under Nicotiana benthamiana. RNAcentral describes it as "long non-coding RNA (NBEN_LNC014438)". The record is from RNAcentral. Lineage: Eukaryota; Viridiplantae; Streptophyta; Magnoliopsida; Solanales; Solanaceae.